GACGAACGCUGGCGGCGUGCUUAACACAUGCAAGUCGAACGGAAAGGCCUGCUUUCCCUUGUGGAUUGCGGGUACUCGCGUGGCGAACGGUUGCGUAACACGUGCGUGAUCUGCCCCCAACUUGGGUAUAAGCCUGGGACACUGGGUCUAAUUCCCGAUAGGACUGCAGGGUGGUGGCUGUGGUGGAAGACGAUUUUCUAGUUGUUGGGUAUGGGCUCGCGGCCUAUCCGCUUGUUGGUGGGGUAAUGGCCUACCAAGGCGGCGACGGGUAGCCGGCCUGGGAGGGCGGACUGGGAAAUUGGGACUGGGCCACGGCCCAGACGCCGACGGGAGGCAGGAGUGGGGAAUAAUGGACGAUGGGCGGAAGCCGGAUGCAGCGACGCCGCGUGAGGGAUGACGGCUUGCGGGUUGUAAACUCCUUGCGGGCGAGAGGAAGCUACCUGGGUUGAAGGGUGGUGACGGUAGUGGUAGAAGAAGCACCGGCUAACUACGUG
This 494-nucleotide ribosomal RNA is filed under the name uncultured bacterium. RNAcentral's name for it is "partial 16S ribosomal RNA". It matches the Rfam family "Bacterial small subunit ribosomal RNA", at positions 28 to 507 of the family's 1533-position model. The record is from RNAcentral.